ACAAAAAAUUCCCUGAUUUUUAAUAAUUGAUUAUUUUUUUUUUAGUCAAAAGGUAAUUGCAGAAAUAAACAGCUACUCACUUGUUUAAUCCACCAAACAUACGAGCUGACUGGUGUAAAGACCGUGGGCUUCUGCAGAACAUUGCAACCCUCACCAGAACCGAAGCUCACGAUGCCGUGGACGUCCCAGGAGCCAUCUGGGUUUGGGCAAUUCAGAGGGCCACCAGAGUCUCGCUGCAGCCUGCGGUGAUGCCAUCUCCUCCAGCGCAGACCAUUUUCUCAGUUGCCAGGACAUUCCACCAGUCGGGCUGCGAGCAGACAUCAUGGCCGACUACAGGCAGGAAAGCCUGCUGAAGAAUAUCAGCUGUCUCAGGUGAGAAAAAGUGCAAAUUUUGACUUUGGUUAAACAGCAUUAGGCUUUAAGGAUUUUUGCCUAUGGUUAAAAUAACCAUUAUACAUGUAAUAUUAAAGCAGUUUUUCUUUACAGUCUUAUUCAGUGAGAAAUUAGUGUAUGUCAGUAUGCAUAAGAUGCUUCCGUAAUCACAUUGUUUUCAGUGCCUUCCAAAAGUAUUAAUAUGGCUUGAAAUUUUAACAUUUAAAAAUAGUAGAUUUUAUUUAUUUAUUUAUUUUGAGUGCGUGAGGAAUAGUUGUUCUUUCAGCUUAGCAGUAGAUGUCUGAAGGUCCUCCCAAGUUAAAAUGGUGGUCUUGACUGCUUUUCAGAUUAAUGCUGUCCUUUUCCUGCCUUUGAGUGGAUCUCCAUUGUUUAUGUGUUUCCAGAUUAUGGAUAUGUUUGUGACAAUAUUUUCACUUUAAUCUUCUCCUUACCAACUGCGUGACUUCUGAAAGCACCAGAUUUUAUUCAUAGGUAAGUGAAUAAAGGUGGGUGAAAGAAAAAAAAAUGCAAAAUAAGCUUUUUACAUUUCCGUUUGUGAAGAAAUUCUGCCAUACUCUUAAAUGCUACUUUUGUUGGUCUCUCCCAUAAAGGUUUGUUGUUGUACUAUGUGGCAACUGUGUAAGCUCAAGUAAUGUUGACAGUUUUGGAAGGAAGUUUUGGACUUCAGCUCCAUAAAUGUACUAUUCUACAAAAUGAACACGCCCACUAGGUGACUGCUCAUAGUACUCAUGCAUAAUUCAGGACCCAACCUUUUGUCCAACCUUUGGUUUAGCUAAUAGUUAAGCUUUGUCUUAUUUCUCUUUGAAUCACUCACUUGAAAGACGCCCCCAGCCAGUGACAAGACAAGGGGUCCCAUGUGGGAGGACGACAUCCCGGUCUGGAAGGCACGCAGGUGUGAUUGUAUCAGACAAAGCAACAGGGGAAGACAGCUUUAUCAGAGCAGUGUCAUUCCUGCAAAAAAAGCAAAUCAAUACAUUUAUGUCCAAGAGGUGAAAAGAAAGUAGCCUCAUCAGUUUUUACAGUUUGGAUCACCUAUGAAAUAGCAUUCACUGUUAAGCGAUACCUCACACUCUUCCACAUUAAGAAGUGGUUUAAGAAAAUGUUGCGGUUACCGGCUGAGCAGGAUGUUAUAGUCUUCAUGAGUAAUGACCUUGGCUGCACUGCAAGCCACUGAGCCUUCCUCAGUGGCCUUCAGACUGUGCUUCCCCAGCUCCACUCUGUAGUCGUCGACUUCACUGUAAGAACGGCAACCAGCAAAGCUCAGGGAUUCAGAAAGCGAAACAGAUUGUUUUUUGUGUGUAAAUAUGUGCUAGACGGAUGAUCAGUAUGACAAAAUUCAGGGAUCUUCCAGUUAUUUACCUUUACAGUCUUCUGAGCUUCUCAAAAACACAAAAAAGGUUUUUUUUUUUUUGUUGGAACAAGAUCAAAUUUUUAUCUAAAGUCAUAUGCAGCAAAAUAUAAUAUGAAUUUCAAUGAUAUGGGUUUGUACAAUUAAAUGUACCUUUUCACAAAUAACUUUAAAGCAAGUUUUGACGAUACUUUUCAUUAAGCCAUGUUUCUUAAAAAAAUUCUAAUUGGUCUGACAUAAUAUUCUAAUCUUCAAUGUGUUUUCAUUAGCUGCAAGUUGAAAAUUGCAAUCAGAAAUAAAGGUUUGAAAACAUUCUGUCCAUAGCAUGCUGUGCUUCACAUAGUGAAUUAAAUUACUGAAAUCAAUGUUCAAUAAGCUAAUUUACCUAAAAUGCCUUGACAUCUAGUCAUUUUUUUAGGAUUGAACAUCCAGAGAAAAGGCUUGUGUUUUUCUGCUGUUAUUUACAAGAUUUCACGAUUAGAUCUACAACAAAUGUAUCGAAUGUCAUCUUGGUUCAAUGUUCAAGGUUAUCAUAGAGUACAAAAUUACAAAAUGUAACUGUGAAGGAAUUUGUGCAAAAACCCAAAUCAUAACAGAAAGCAGAAAGGCAACAGAAAAUCUAUCAUGUACUCAAUUAAACUAUGGUGGACGCAUUAAAAAGCAUCACAAAUAAAUUAAUAAAAAUAUGUUACUGGUUUUCAGGCUGACGCUGCAAAUGAUAAACUUUCUGUCUAUGUGUUUGGUGCACAGUUAGAAUAAAGAAAUAUAAGACAUUGA
This is a long non-coding RNA of Xiphophorus hellerii (green swordtail), 2518 nucleotides long. RefSeq lists it as uncharacterized. The transcript is spliced from 2 exons. The record is from RefSeq and is a predicted model, not a curated record. NCBI's taxonomy places the organism in Eukaryota, Metazoa, Chordata, Actinopteri, Cyprinodontiformes, Poeciliidae.